This is a long non-coding RNA of Homo sapiens (human), 1646 nucleotides long. NCBI's taxonomy places the organism in Eukaryota, Metazoa, Chordata, Mammalia, Primates, Hominidae. The record is from Ensembl.
AGUGUGGUACUGAAGAUGAGAUGAGCUUAUAUCCCCUUGUGUGUGCUCUGCGUUUUAAUGAUAGCUUGGCGUGCAGGGGCAGAGGCCUACAGCUUUAAAAAGUGGAUGUGCUUUAUCAUUUUAACUCAAGAUGACGACUCAUUUUUUUCCCUUUGUGCAGUUCAGGAAACCAGGCUGAAGAAUGUGAAAUACAUCGCCCAAAGUCAGACACGGAGGAACAACUGCUUCGGAGCUAGCAAUUUCCUGAGCUGGAAUUGCACCACUGGCCUGUAGAAUCCAAACUGUUUUCUACCAGAACAACUCCUUCCCUGCAGGAAGCAGGGUGUGCACAGCUGAACCCUGGUCUGAGAAGGUUGAAGUCACUGACUCAGCCCCAGCAAGGAAGUUGCCCUUCGACUUCUGACCUCUGGCCCUGUUUGAAAACCAACUCAAAUCGUUUUUCUUUUUCAGAAGCUGCUUGCCUCCGCUUCACCUUCCACCAUGAUUGUAAGUUUCCUGAGGCCUCCCAGUCAUGCUUGCCGUUAAAACUGUGGAACUGGCCUGAAAUAACUCGGUGACUAAGGAAUUUCAUUGAGAAAAAAGACAAAAACAAAACAAAUACUUUGUCUUUUGGAAUAAAUGAAUCCUUACAGAAGAGUGGUAAAAUGAACACGAGUUUGGAUCUGUGGAGCCAUUAUUAAGUAAUGAAGACUGAAUUCACCUUCUUUGGGCUGAAGCGAAAUAGAGAUGAAAAUCCCUUCAAUAAUAGAUAUCUACCCACUCCAUGGCCUCUACACCCGCUACUACCCACAUCUGCUGCACAUGAUGGAAACAUUGUUAUUCAUUUGGUUAAUCAUCAAACUCCCAUUGAACACAUACUCCAUUAUGCACUGAAUUAUUACAUUCUGUAAUUCCAAGUAGAAGAGAAUCUAAGAGCUUGUAUUCACAAAUAACUUGUCUGAAGAAAUAACAUCAAAAGAAUAUGGCAUCUCAAAUGAUUAUGAAAAUCACCCUUCAUAGAAGAUGGCGGAUUAUGUUUGUUGCAUUGUUUCUGUAAUGGGACUGAUAGUUUGUGCUGAAUAAUUCAUGCUAUUUGCCCAAGCCCCUUGAAAGUGCUGGCAUAUCUCUGAGGGACAGCUGGCUGAGAUUAUGGGACAUACUAUUGCCACAGACUUGAAUAUUGCCAAAUGGCCUCUUGGAGAUUUUUUUUGGUAGUGCAGUGUUUGCAAUGCUGUCUGUGGAAUUAUGCAGACCUGGGUUCAAAUUCUAACUCUACCCUUUGACUUGGACAAGGGAUUUAACCUCUUUUAGUCUCAAUUUCCUUGUAUGUAAAAUGAAAGUAGUAAUCCAUCCUUAUUGGGAUUUAUACAUAUAAUGUUAUAGGAACAGAAAUUUCAUUGUUUUAAUGAAAACUCCUUUUUCAAGGAGGUUGGGUCUGGUUAAAGGGAAUGUCCCUUUCCUAUUUAGUGCCUUGGGUUUGGUUGUGAAAACCUAGUAAGAGGAGUUGAGGGGUAGGUGGGUACUGGGAGAGCUCCAUUCUUUUUAGAAGAAGAAGAAUGGGGUGAGGAGAAGAGAAGGGAGGAGAGAGGCAAGAGGAGUCAGCCAAAAGGAGUGAAGCAGGAGGGCGAUGAGGCCAACAAAUUGGCAAGGUGGUGGUUGUGGGAUAA